This 1334-nucleotide long non-coding RNA is filed under the name Nicotiana benthamiana. Its description in RNAcentral is "long non-coding RNA (NBEN_LNC023831)". The record is from RNAcentral. Lineage: Eukaryota; Viridiplantae; Streptophyta; Magnoliopsida; Solanales; Solanaceae.
UUUCUUAACCCCUUUCAAAAACACUUUACUUUUCUGAUUUUGAGUACUAAUCAAUGACUCUCAAAAUAUUUUGUUUAGUCUGAUGAAAUCCUAGCUCUAUAUGUUUGUAUCUGUAUUAUCUGCUUGUUUGUGUGUUCCUCUGGGUUCUUCUUUGAGUUCCGUGCUCUUUGCUUGAAUUUUUGUUCCUUGUGUUUCAUUCCCCUACCAUGUUGUGUUCUUCUCUUAAAGUUUUUCUGGCUGUUUACAAGUUGAUUUUAUAUUGAUUCUUAAAAUCUCUCAUUAAGACUGUGAUUACUGGCCUUAAAUUGUGAUUUUGUGUAUUCUCCUUAUAGUUUGGUAUUGAUUUCGAAUUUCUUCCUCAAUCAGUGAGAUACAUUCCUCAAUUAAUAACUGAUCUCCUAUGUUUUCAAUAUCGUUCACUAAUUCGAAACUAUUUUCCAGAAUUAAAGUGGUAUUUUUCCCUAUAUGUGUACACAAGUAUGUUGAUUUAUUUACUUGACAUAUUUCCCUGGUUAAGUAUCAUGCACCUAGUCUUCAUUGUAUACCUUACACUAUUUUGUUUCCUUAUGUGACCAUGCCAUACUUUGUGAUUCCUUUCCUUUUAAAAUGAAUGCUUAUUACCGUUUGACUUUUAUUCCUUAAUUAACGGGGAGUCCAUAUGCUUAUUUGAUUAUGAUUGAUGCUCAGUUCCUUAAAUAUGGAUUGAUACCUUAUUUGUUCACUCAUUUUCAGUACUAUAAUACUCCUCACCUUUCUCUUUCAACACACCAACGCACACUGCAUAUCUCCCACAACCUCAGACUCUCUAAAUUCUCUCUUUCUCUGCUAUUACUAUACUCUAAUUCUUUUAAUUGAACACUCAAUCGGCUAAAAUCCAAGAUUUAGUGGCCUGGGUUGAUUACUUCUACACUACUGGGUUCUAAUGUUUGUUUACUUGGGUCUGCUGCUGCUGCUAUUCUCAUAUUGCUGUUGCACACUGUUGUUCUCUCUGCUGCUUACACUCUCUGCUCACCUUGUUCCUCUGUUCACUAUUUUUAUUGUGGUCUAUCACUUGCAACUUCUAUGUCACCCCUUUAAGAUACAGUUUCCACAACAACAUGUUUCUAUUACUUUUGCAUUUCAUAAUGUUGCUUGUAAGCUUUUACUUAUGGUUUUGUUGCUCUUUUUGUCACUAGCAUGUUCUUACUAGUCUAUUUGGUUCUGUUUAACAUGCUCCCUUACCCCCUCCCCUGUCUCAAUGAAUGUUUACUUUUGUACUACUACCAUGCAUCCAAGUCUGUUUGGCUACUUGGUUAACCUAAACCUCUGUUAGAGGCUAAGUGUAUUAGAGUUUG